RNAcentral lists this ribosomal RNA (164 nucleotides) under Plagioscion squamosissimus (South American silver croaker). Its description in RNAcentral is "partial small subunit ribosomal RNA". Lineage: Eukaryota; Metazoa; Chordata; Actinopteri; Sciaenidae. The record is from RNAcentral.
CCGCGGUUAUACGAGAGGCCCAAGUUGAUACUCCACGGCGUAAAGAGUGGUUAGAAAAGACCUACUACUAAAGCCGAACGCCUUCAAAGCUGUUAUACGCAUCCGAAGGUGAGAAGCCCACCCACGAAAGUGGCUUUACAACCUUGACUCCACGAAAGCUAUGA